RNAcentral lists this small RNA (527 nucleotides) under fungal sp. JH 88. RNAcentral describes it as "eukaryotic LSU rRNA". The stretch from base 181 to 334 matches the Rfam family "5.8S ribosomal RNA". The record is from RNAcentral. Lineage: Eukaryota; Fungi.
UGCGGAAGGAUCAUUAAAGAAUCGCCCCGUUUUUUGAAAUGGGUUCUAUUCCCAAACCGUGUAUACAUACCUUUGUUGCUUUGGCAGGCCGUCUUUUAGGCGUCGGCUCCGGCUGACUGCGCUUGCCAGAGGACCCAAACUCGUUUGUUUAGUGAUGUCUGAGUACUAUAUAAUAGUUAAAACUUUCAACAACGGAUCUCUUGGUUCUGGCAUCGAUGAAGAACGCAGCGAAAUGCGAUAAGUAAUGUGAAUUGCAGAAUUCAGUGAAUCAUCGAAUCUUUGAACGCACAUUGCGCCCCUUGGUAUUCCGAGGGGCAUGCCUGUUCGAGCGUCAUUAUAACCACUCAAGCCUCGGCUUGGUCUUGGGGUUCGCGGUAUCGCGGCCCUUAAAAUCAGUGGCGGUGCCGUCUGGCUCUAAGCGUAGUAAUUCUCUCGCUAUAGGGUCCCGGCGGUUACCUGCCAGAACCCCCCCAUUUUUUACGGUUGACCUCGGAUCAGGUAGGGAUACCCGCUGAACUUAAGCAUAU